GACGAACGCUGGCGGCGUGCUUAACACAUGCAAGUCGAACGGAAAGGCCCUGCUUUUGUGGGGUGCUCGAGUGGCGAACGGGUGAGUAACACGUGAGUAACCUGCCCUUGACUUUGGGAUAACUUCAGGAAACUGGGGCUAAUACCGGAUAGGAGCUCCUGCUGCAUGGUGGGGGUUGGAAAGUUUCGGCGGUUGGGGAUGGACUCGCGGCUUAUCAGCUUGUUGGUGGGGUAGUGGCUUACCAAGGCUUUGACGGGUAGCCGGCCUGAGAGGGUGACCGGCCACAUUGGGACUGAGAUACGGCCCAGACUCCUACGGGAGGCAGCAGUGGGGAAUAGUGCACAAUGGGAGGAAGCCUGAUGCAGCAACGCCGCGUGCGGGAUGACGGCCUUCGGGUUGUAAACCGCUUUCGCCUGUGACGAAGCGUGAGUGACGGUAAUGGGUAAAGAAGCACCGGCUAACUACGUG
Molecule: ribosomal RNA, 468 nt
Filed under: uncultured bacterium
Lineage: Bacteria
Description: partial 16S ribosomal RNA
Rfam family: Bacterial small subunit ribosomal RNA
Source: RNAcentral